This 213-nucleotide ribosomal RNA is filed under the name uncultured bacterium. RNAcentral's name for it is "partial 16S ribosomal RNA". It matches the Rfam family "Bacterial small subunit ribosomal RNA", at positions 524 to 733 of the family's 1533-position model. The record is from RNAcentral.
GACAGAGGAGCCAAGCGUUGUCCGGAUUGACUGGGCGUAAAGCGCACGCAGGCGGCCCGGCGCGUGGGGUGUGAAAGCUGGCGGCUUAACUGCCAGAUGCCAUCCCAUACGGCUGGGCUCGAGCCCUGCAGAGGUCCGAUGGAAUUGCCGGUGUAGUGGUGAAAUGCGUAGAGAUCGGCAGGAACACCCAGGGGGGAAACCAGUGGGACAUGG